This 929-nucleotide small RNA is filed under the name Arabidopsis thaliana (thale cress). RNAcentral describes it as "ATSL202510". Lineage: Eukaryota; Viridiplantae; Streptophyta; Magnoliopsida; Brassicales; Brassicaceae. The record is from RNAcentral.
UGUUUUGUGGGUAGCUGGUCGAGUGAUUAUGGAGGGCCGAGUGAAGCGAUGGAGAGAGAGUGGUGAAAACGACGAGGUUAUGCAGGAGCUGCGGUAGAGUGAACCAAACAGCAAGGUCGAGUAGCGAAUGAUGAGAGUAGAGUCGCGGAUUAGUGAUGAGAUGAUGUAAGAAGAAGUCGAGUGUUGUUAGAGGAGCGGUGAUUCGAGUGAUUGACUCGGAGGAGGAGAAACGGCUGCUUGGUCAAGUGGUGAAGAGGUCGAGUGCUUUAAGACGAUUGAGAGGUGGUGGUGGCGAGGAAUCGUCGAGUGGUAGCUCGAGACGGUGGUGAAGAGGUGAUGGGAGUUGUGGCUGUGAAAGGCGAGAGAGAAGCGGUCGAGUGCCUAAGGAAGAGAGAUGGUGAGGUCGAGUGCUGCUUUGGACGGAUGAUGAUGGCGUUGAAGUCGAGUGAUGGAGAAGAAGUCGAGUGAAGACGGGAUUGCAGAGAUGGGGAGGUUGCAUUUUUGAAGAGAGAAGGCUAUGGGAUCGAGUGAUGGGAUAAGGGGAGGUCGAGUGGAGUGGAGAAGACUAGGAUAGAUUUCGUUAUCACCUUGUGGGGAGCGUGGGAGACAUGGCUGCAGCAGUGGGUCCCUCGUUGUCUUCUUGUCUCUUCUCUGUAUUCUCUGUUCACUAGAAAAACUCCAGGAAAUCCCGCAAUCUUCGGUAAACUUGAUAAACUCCCUGGAAGACUCUGUAGCUCCUGUUGGUCGAGUAAAAUGAUGAUUUAAAAUUUUUUUGGGUUUUAAACAUCACUCAUACUCGACCAAUGUACUCGAUCUUUAGGUCAUCAGUAGAGUAAAAGUUUUAAAUUUUUACUCUAACUUCACGUUACUCCCUUUUUUUUUUUUCUGAGAACCACAAACACAACAAAUCAAAAAUAACAAGAAACUAA